RNA transcript from Camelus dromedarius (Arabian camel), 739 nucleotides. RefSeq lists it as uncharacterized. Lineage: Eukaryota; Metazoa; Chordata; Mammalia; Artiodactyla; Camelidae. The transcript has 3 exons. The record is from RefSeq and is a predicted model, not a curated record.
CACCGUCUUGCAGUUCUCAGAGCUGGAAGGAGGAGGCGUCUUGUCUCCCCUUUGUAGUAGUAAACUUGCCUCUUCUACUCCUAUGGGGCCUCGUCCUUGACUUCAGUCUAGGGCAGUGAAAUGGAAGCCCACGCAGCAGGGACGCAGCUCCAACUUCACCUUUGGGUUUCUAGGGAGAUUUUUUCCCUGAACUCUUAAUUUAUCCCCCAACCCGGAUGGAACGCAGAUGUACCUAACUGGAUUAAUCGUAACGCCUGGCUCAAGAAGUCUGUGCAUGAUCCUAAAGUGCCUCUAAGAACUAGAACACUGACAAUAACUUUACUGCAACUCUGUCUUUUGUCUCCCUCCAUACCUCCUGUAAUCUGAGGUUCCAGAAAAUGCCCACAAAGAUGAAAUAGAUUGGGAGACUCUUUCAAGAACCUUACAGUAUAAUGUAGUGUCCACCUCCAGUCCUGGAAACUCUGCUUACAUGGGAACCUCCAGAGUCACAUCUUGCACAGGAGAGGGGUUCCAGAAAAUGCCCACAAAGAUGAAAUAGAUUGGGAGACUUUUUCAAGAACCUUACAAGAUAAUGGAGUGUCCAUCUCCAGUCCAUGGAAACUCUGCUUACAUUGGAACCUCCAGAGUCACAUCUUGCACAGGAGAGGGGUAAGUGACUGGCUGUUACAUGGAAUAGAAAGUGAGCAGAUUUGUUGCUUGACUUUUGGUGGAACUAUAAAUGUGUAUAUUCCAUAUGUCC